UACGUAGGGUGCAAGCGUUGUCCGGAAUUAUUGGGCGUAAAGAGCUCGUAGGCGGUUUGUCGCGUCGACUGUGAAAACCCGGGGCUCAACUCCGGGCCUGCAUUCGAUACGGGCAGACUAGAGUUCGGUAGGGGAGACUGGAAUUCCUGGUGUAGCGGUGAAAUGCGCAGAUAUCAGGAGGAACACCGUUGGCGAAGGCGGUUCUCUGGGCAUGACCUGACGCUGAGGAGCGAAAGUGUGGGGAGCGAACAGG
RNAcentral lists this ribosomal RNA (253 nucleotides) under uncultured bacterium. RNAcentral describes it as "partial 16S ribosomal RNA". It matches the Rfam family "Bacterial small subunit ribosomal RNA", at positions 524 to 776 of the family's 1533-position model. The record is from RNAcentral.